GCUCUCAUAGUUCAACGGAUAGAAUGCAGGAUUGCGGAUCCUGUGAUGCAGGUUCGAUUCCUACUGAGAGCA
This 72-nucleotide transfer RNA is filed under the name Patescibacteria group bacterium. Its description in RNAcentral is "tRNA-Arg". It matches the Rfam family "tRNA". From Rfam's summary of the family: Transfer RNA (tRNA) molecules are approximately 80 nucleotides in length. RNAcentral also lists the same sequence under 1 other name. The record is from RNAcentral.